AUUGAACGCUGGCGGCAUGCCUUACACAUGCAAGUCGAACGGUAACGGGCCUUCGGGUGCCGACGAGUGGCGCACGGGUGAGUAAUACAUCGGAACGUGCCCGAUCGUGGGGGAUAACGAGGCGAAAGCUUUGCUAAUACCGCAUACGAUCUACGGAUGAAAGCAGGGGACCGCAAGGCCUUGCGCGGACGGAGCGGCCGAUGGCAGAUUAGGUAGUUGGUGGGAUAAAAGCUUACCAAGCCGACGAUCUGUAGCUGGUCUGAGAGGAUGAUCAGCCACACUGGGACUGAGACACGGCCCAGACUCCUACGGGAGGCAGCAGUGGGGAAUUUUGGAGAAUGGGCGCAAGCCUGAUCCAGCCAUGCCGCGUGCAGGAUGAAGGCCUUCGGGUUGUAAACUGCUUUUGUACGGAACGAAAAGCCUUCUUUUAAUACAGGAGGGUCAUGACGGUACCGUAAGAAUAAGCACCGGCUAACUACGUG
This 482-nucleotide ribosomal RNA is filed under the name uncultured bacterium. RNAcentral describes it as "partial 16S ribosomal RNA". It matches the Rfam family "Bacterial small subunit ribosomal RNA", at positions 30 to 507 of the family's 1533-position model. The record is from RNAcentral.